Molecule: long non-coding RNA, 943 nt
Organism: Aegilops tauschii subsp. strangulata
Lineage: Eukaryota; Viridiplantae; Streptophyta; Magnoliopsida; Poales; Poaceae
Source: RefSeq, a predicted model, not a curated record
CCCCCCCCCCCCCCCAGCCCGGGCGCCAGCCAGCCCUGACGACCUCGACCCAGGCGCCCCCAAGCCCAGCACCCCAACUCCGGCAGCCCCAAAACCCGGCGACCCGAAGCCCUGCGCCCCCAAUCCCGGAGAAGCGCCCGCGCUGGCGACUUGUUCUGCACCCCGACCCCAUUUCCGGCGUCGCCCUCCACAGCCUCAUCAACGCGCAGGCCGUUCACCUCCGCCAUCGAUGUCCAUUCACCGCUGCCCCUAGGCCGUUCACCUCCGCCACCCCAGGCCGUUCUCCUCCGCCACGUAUGUACGUUCACCGCCGCCCCAAGAAUCCCCGUCGAGCCUCGUCCGCAACCCCGACCCUCUUUGCGGCCACCCAGGUCCACAUUGUGGGGCCAUCGUGUUCUCUUCACCGCCACUCAGGUCCGACGAGCCGCCGCAGGCAGGAUCCUCUACGUGCUAGCCUCGGUGCUGGCCCUACACGAUGGCAUGGCACCGUUCACUGCUGCCACCAUGGGCCGUUCAAUGACACAACAUCGAGUCGUUCGACACCGCAGCUCAGGAGUUUGCCUCCUUUCCCAACCUCCACUAUGCUCCAGCUAAGAAUAAAAAUAUGAUGUAUGCAUUGCUUCUUGGCCCAGCCGAGAGAACACUCGUGUUAAAAAGUAUAAAGCAGUUUUGAAGCAAUUCUCAGUGUCUUUAGAAGCAUUCAUGGUUAAAAAGCAACGACAACCUCCGUUCGAGUUGAGAAAUGGUCAUCGUCCAAGUUGAGCAGUAGGUGUCGUCCAAGUUCAAAGAGGGUUGUAUGCAAGUACAAAAGUUUGUUUCAGUGAGAAAAAAUGCGGGGUUUUGACAAUAUUCUGUAUGAUUCAUUUGUUCAUCCUUAGAACUUGGCAAAAUUCGGUCUAUUUUUCUAUGAUGGAGGCACACAUGAAGUCCUGUGCAAUGGUUA